ACGUAGGGUGCGAGCGUUAAUCGGAAUUACUGGGCGUAAAGCGUGCGCAGGCGGCUUCGCAAGUCAGACGUGAAAUCCCCGGGCUUAACCUGGGAAUGGCGUUUGAAACUACGGAGCUGGAGUGUGGCAGAGGGAGGUAGAAUUCCACGUGUAGCGGUGAAAUGCGUAGAUAUGUGGAGGAAUACCGAUGGCGAAGGCAGCCUCCUGGGCCAACACUGACGCUCAUGCACGAAAGCGUGGGGAGCAAACAGGA
Molecule: ribosomal RNA, 253 nt
Filed under: uncultured prokaryote
Description: partial 16S ribosomal RNA
Rfam family: Bacterial small subunit ribosomal RNA
Source: RNAcentral